CCUACGGGGGGCAGCAGUGGGGAAUCUUGCGCAAUGGGCGAAAGCCUGACGCAGCGACGCCGCGUGCGGGAUGAAUGCCUUCGGGUUGUAAACCGCUUUCAGCAGGGACGCGGUACCUGCAGAAGAAGCCCCGGCCAACUACGUGCCAGCAGCCGCGGUAAUACGUAGGGGGCAAGCGUUGUCCGGAAUUAUUGGGCGUAAAGAGCUCGUAGGCGGUUGGGCAAGUCACGUGUGAAAUCUCCACGCUCAACGUGGAGGCGUCACGUGAGACUGCCUGACUCGAGUCCGGUAGAGGAGCGUGGAAUUCCCGGUGUAGCGGUGAAAUGCGCAGAGAUCGGGAGGAACACCCGUAGCGAAGGCGGCGCUCUGGGCCGGACUGACGCUGAGGAGCGAAAGCGUGGGGAGCAAACAGGAUUAGAUACCCUUGUAGUC
Molecule: ribosomal RNA, 432 nt
Filed under: uncultured bacterium
Lineage: Bacteria
Description: partial 16S ribosomal RNA
Rfam family: Bacterial small subunit ribosomal RNA
Source: RNAcentral